UCAUUCUAUGGCAGUGGUUUUCAACCGC
This 28-nucleotide non-coding RNA is filed under the name Mus musculus (house mouse). Lineage: Eukaryota; Metazoa; Chordata; Mammalia; Rodentia; Muridae. The record is from RNAcentral.